RNAcentral lists this ribosomal RNA (305 nucleotides) under uncultured bacterium. RNAcentral describes it as "bacterial SSU rRNA". It matches the Rfam family "Bacterial small subunit ribosomal RNA", at positions 333 to 654 of the family's 1533-position model. The record is from RNAcentral.
UUGUGCCUACGGGAGGCAGCAGUGGGGGAUAUUGCACAAUGGGGGAAACCCUGAUGCAGCGACGCCGCGUGUGGGAAGACGGUCCUCUGGAUUGUAAACCACUGUCCCCAGGGACGAAAAUGACGGUACCUGAAGAAGAAGCCCCGGCUAACUAAGUGCCAGCAGCCGCGGUAAUACGUAGGGGGCAAGCGUUAUCCGGAUUUACUGGGUGUAAAGGGGGCGCAGACGGCGAUGCAAGCCAGGAGUGAAAGCCCGGGGCCCAACCCCGGGACUGCUCUUGGAACUGCGUGGCUGGAGUGCAGGAG